GCCCACACACACACACACACACACACACACACACACACACACCCACACCCCGCGAGGCAAGGAGGAGUUUUUUUCUUCAUUACUUUUUACAAUAAGUUUUCUCAAUAGAUAGAAAAUGAUGACGCUGAGGAGUCAGCAUCCGAUAUUAUCAUUGCUUGUAACCCUGUUUUUUACAUCUCCCCAUAAAACUAGUCUUAGCGAGGAAAAAAAAUCUAAUUAUUCGAAUAAGUUUAUUAAAGCACCCCCUCUGUGGGAACGAGUCAACCAUGAGCCGAGUUUUGUCAACAGCAAGAACAAGGUCAGACAGCAAUUGUCCAUUUGGUAAAACAAAUACCCGUCUCAAAGCCAUAUUUUACCGUUGCGGAAUGGGGGAAAACAGACGGCGUUCGCAAGAAGGCAAUCAAAAAAAAAACAAACCCCCUCUAACUACCGGUAUUGUCAAGAGAAAGAUGCGAAAAACAGAUGCUUCGCUAGACUAGGAUAAAAUGAGAGAAGAAGCGGAAGGGGAGUCGCUAUCUGUGACAGUUCUACCAAUCGCGAGGAAGAAUCCGAGAAUAUUAUGUCAGCAUCCCGUUCAAACAACGCCGCCGAUCAGAGGGCCAUCUCGCCGGAUCUGUUCAUACCUCACCCCGAUUUCUACAUCAAUGAUUUCACGCAAGUGGACUACGAAACAAUCGAUAAUGCAGUGAGUAACAGCAGAAAUCCGGCCGUUUUCCACGGCGAAUUAGAAGCCAUAUCCCCCGCAGAAUCUCCGCUGCCGCCGCAUCGAAGAGAAGACGGCACUAUUUCCGUCUCCGCAUACCGGGAGAACCGCGGAGAAAAAAGUUUUAAAAUCGAAGAGGUAACCGAGAAUAUACAGACCCCGCCGCAGCGAAAAGAAGAAGAAGACGACGACGACGUUAUUUUCGUCAACGCAUACCGGGAGAACUGCAGGAAAAUACCUUUUAAACCAAAAGCCGAGAUUGCGGAUAUACCUAUUCAACCCCCCUCCGCUACAGACAAUUGCGCGGAGGAGCGAGCCGAGAUUGCGGAUUUACCUAACCAAUCCCCCGCCGCUACAGACAAUCGGGCGGAGGAGCGAGAGACCGAUACAGAAAAUCAGACUGAAGAAAAUCAGGUUGAGGAGGAACCGUCCAGAUUGCCUCCUAUCAGGAGAGUGAGAGCUCCUCUCGGAAGACUGAGAGCUCGACGGAUGCUUCAUAAGAAGAGAAUCCUUGAAAAACUCGCUUUCAUGUACGUCGCAACAGUUCGCACAUAUGCAUCGAUAUACAGACACAAGGACCUGUAAAGUAAAAGCAUGUAAAAGUCUGUGAAUUAAGAAAUAAAGAAAAUCAUGUCGGAAGAACACAGCAUUCCUGAGGCUUUGUUGGAAGCCGUGGCAGAAUUAAACAGAAACGAUGAACAUUUAGCCCCAC
Molecule: long non-coding RNA, 1415 nt
Organism: Astatotilapia calliptera (eastern happy)
Lineage: Eukaryota; Metazoa; Chordata; Actinopteri; Cichliformes; Cichlidae
Source: Ensembl